UGAGUACGAGAUGCUACGGCGUCGAAGCAGUCUAGGUCAUACUUCCAAGAAAAGCUUGCACUGUCAUAAACAAAGAAUGCCUGUACCAUAACCGACACAGGUGGGUAGGUAGAGUAUACUAAGGGGCGCGAGAUAACUCUCUCUAAGGAACUCGGCAAAAUGACUCCGUAACUUCGGGAGAAGGAGUGCCUUAUUUUUAAGGUUGCAAUAACAAGAUCCAAGCAACUGUUUACCAAAAACACAGGUCUCCGCUAAGUCGUAAGACGAUGUAUGGGGGCUGACGCCUGCCCAGUGCCAGAAGGUUAAAGAAGUUGGUUAGCAUUUGCGAAGCUGAUAACUGAAGCCCUGGUGAACGGCGGCCGUAACGAUAACGGUCCUAAGGUAGCGAAAUUCCUUGUCGGGUAAGUUCCGACCCGCACGAAAGGCGUAAUGAUUUGGAUACUGUCUCGGAGAGGGGCUCGGUGAAAUAGACUUGUCUGUGAAGAUGCGGACUACCUGCACCUGGACAGAAAGACCCUAUGAAGCUUUACUGUAACUUGAGAUUGAAAUUGGACUUUAUUUGCGCAGUAUAGGUGGGAGGCGUUGAGAAUAAUCUUGCGGGAUUAUCGGAGCCAUCAGUGUGAUACCACUCUUGUAAUGUUAGAUUUCUAACUUUGUAUCAUUAUCUGGUCAAAGAACAGUUUCAGGCGGGCAGUUUGACUGGGGCGGUCGCCUCCCAAAGGGUAACGGAGGCGCACAAAGGUUUCCUCUGAACGGGUAGAAAUCGUAUCUAGAGUGUAAAGGCAUAAGGAAGCUUGACUGUGAGACCUACAAGUCGAGCAGGGACGAAAGUCGGUCUUAGUGAUCUGACGGUGCUGAGUGGAAAGGCCGUCACUCAACGGAUAAAAGUUACUCUAAGGAUAACAGGCUGAUCUCCCCCAAGAGUUCACAUCGACGGGGAGGUUUGGCACCUCGAUGUCGGCUCAUCGCAUCCUGGGGCGGUAGUACGUCCCAAGGGUUGGGCUGUUCGCCCAUGAAAGCGGUACGCGAGCUGGGUUCAGAACGUCGUGAGACAGUUCGGUCCAUAUCCGGUGUAGGCGUUAGAAUAUUGAAAGGAGCCUUCUCUAGUACGAGAGGACCGAGAAGGACAUACCUCUGGUGUGCCAGUUAUCGUGCCAACGGUAAACGCUGGGUAGCUAUGUAUGGAGUGGAUAACCGCUGAAAGCAUCUAAGUGGGAAGCCCACCUUAAGAUAAG
Molecule: ribosomal RNA, 1235 nt
Filed under: metagenome
Description: bacterial LSU rRNA
Rfam family: Bacterial large subunit ribosomal RNA
Source: RNAcentral